This 293-nucleotide ribosomal RNA is filed under the name uncultured bacterium. RNAcentral describes it as "partial 16S ribosomal RNA". It matches the Rfam family "Archaeal small subunit ribosomal RNA", at positions 455 to 747 of the family's 1478-position model. The record is from RNAcentral.
GUGCCAGCCGCCGCGGUAAUACCGGCAGCUCGAGUGAUGACCGAUUUUAUUGGGCCUAAAGCGUCCGUAGCUGGCCGCGCAAGUCUGUCGGGAACUCCACCUGCUCAACGGGUGGGCGUCCGGCGGAAACUGCACGGCUUGGGACAGGAAGGCUCGAGGGGUACGUUCGGGGUAGGAGUGAAAUCCCGUAAUCCUGAACGGACCACCGAUGGCGAAAGCACCUCGAGAGGACGGAUCCGACAGUGAGGGACGAAAGCUGGGGUCUCGAACCGGAUUAGAUACCCCAGUAGUCC